GACGAACGCUGGCGGCGUGCCUAAUACAUGCAAGUAGAACGCACAGUUUAUACCGUAGCUUGCUACACCAUAAACUGUGAGUUGCGAACGGGUGAGUAACGCGUAGGUAACCUGCCUGGUAGCGGGGGAUAACUAUUGGAAACGAUAGCUAAUACCGCAUAAUAUUAAUUAUUGCAUGAUAAUUGAUUGAAAGAUGCAAUUGCAUCACUACCAGAUGGACCUGCGUUGUAUUAGCUAGUAGGUGAGGUAACGGCUCACCUAGGCGACGAUACAUAGCCGACCUGAGAGGGUGAUCGGCCACACUGGGACUGAGACACGGCCCAGACUCCUACGGGAGGCAGCAGUAGGGAAUCUUCGGCAAUGGACGAAAGUCUGACCGAGCAACGCCGCGUGAGUGAAGAAGGGUUUCGGAUCGUAAAGCUCUGUUGUAAGAGAAGAACGGGUGUGAGAGUGGAAAGUUCACACUGUGACGGUAGCUUACCAGAAAGAGACGGCUAACUACGUG
Molecule: ribosomal RNA, 505 nt
Filed under: uncultured bacterium
Lineage: Bacteria
Description: partial 16S ribosomal RNA
Rfam family: Bacterial small subunit ribosomal RNA
Source: RNAcentral